RNAcentral lists this ribosomal RNA (524 nucleotides) under uncultured bacterium. RNAcentral describes it as "partial 16S ribosomal RNA". It matches the Rfam family "Bacterial small subunit ribosomal RNA", at positions 28 to 523 of the family's 1533-position model. The record is from RNAcentral.
GACGAACGCUGGCGGCGUGCCUAAUACAUGCAAGUCGAACGAAGCUGUUUUAACUGGUGCUUGCACCGACUUAAACAACUGAGUGGCGAACGGGUGAGUAACACGUGGGUAACCUGCCCCAAAGCGGGGGAUAACAUUUGAAAACAGAUGCUAAUACCGCAUAAUCACAGAAACCACAUGGUUUCUGUGUCAAAGAUGGUUUCGGCUAUCACUUUGGGAUGGACCCGCGGCGUAUUAGCUAGUUGGUAAGGUAAUGGCUUACCAAGGCAAUGAUACGUAGCCGAACUGAGAGGUUGAUAGGCCACAUUGGGACUGAGACACGGCCCAAACUCCUACGGGAGGCAGCAGUAGGGAAUCUUCCACAAUGGACGAAAGUCUGAUGGAGCAACGCCGCGUGAGUGAAGAAGGUUUUCGGAUCGUAAAACUCUGUUGUCAGAGAAGAACGUGUGCGAGAGUAACUGUUCGUGCAGUGACGGUAUCUGGCCAGAAAGCCACGGCUAACUACGUGCCAGCAGCCGCAGUAA